This 689-nucleotide ribosomal RNA is filed under the name Sacculina upogebiae. RNAcentral describes it as "eukaryotic LSU rRNA". It matches the Rfam family "Eukaryotic large subunit ribosomal RNA", at positions 655 to 1280 of the family's 3401-position model. The record is from RNAcentral. Lineage: Eukaryota; Metazoa; Arthropoda; Thecostraca; Sacculinidae.
UGAAACACGGACCAAGGAGUCUAACAUGUGAGCAAGCGAUUGGGAUUUGUGACGAAUCCCAAACGCGCAAUGAAAGUGAAGUGUCGCUAUUAGCGGCACGAGCGGAGAUCAACGGUUGUUUCACGAUGACUGUUGCGCAUCCGCGGGCCGCGCCAUCGGCUGGCUUGCUGGUUUAUUCUGGCACUGCCGAGGCGUGGACCGAGAGCUGACACGCUGAGACCCGAAAGAUGGUGAACUAUGCUUGGCGAGGAUGAAGCCAGGGGAAACCCUGGUGGAGGUCCGUCGCGAUUCUGACGUGCAAAUCGAUCGUUUCAGCUGAGUAUAGGGGCGAAAGACCAAUCGAACCAUCUAGUAGCUGGUUCCGCCUGAAGUUUCCCUCAGGAUAGCUGGUGCCUGAUUGAUACGGAGUUUCAUCCGGUAAAGCGAAUGAUCAGAGGAGCUGGGCUAAAUUGAAGCUCAACCUAUUCUCAAACUUUCAAUGGGUGAGACGUCUCGCUGGCUUUAUUGCAGCGACGACUCUGAAUCCGGGUGCCCAGUGGGCCACUUUUGGUAAGCAGAACUGGCGAUGCGGGAUGAACCGCAUAUCGAGUUAAGGUGCCUAAGCGAACGCUCAUCAGAUACCAUGAAAGGUGUUGAUUGCUCACGACAGCAGGACGGUGGCCAUGGAAGUCGGCAUCCGCUAAGGAGUG